Molecule: unclassified non-coding RNA, 27 nt
Filed under: Mus musculus (house mouse)
Lineage: Eukaryota; Metazoa; Chordata; Mammalia; Rodentia; Muridae
Description: piRNA piR-mmu-68353517
Source: RNAcentral
UGAGUUUGAUUAUUUCCUGCCGCUACU